Molecule: ribosomal RNA, 265 nt
Filed under: uncultured archaeon
Lineage: Archaea
Description: partial 16S ribosomal RNA
Rfam family: Archaeal small subunit ribosomal RNA
Source: RNAcentral
CAGCCGUAAACUAUGCUCGCUAGGUGUCAGGCAGUGGCGCGACCGGGUGUCGUGGUGCCGCAGGGAAGCCGUGAAGCGAGCCACCUGGGAAGUACGGCCGCAAGGCUGAAACUUAAAGGAAUUGGCGGGGGAGCACAACAACGGGUGGAGCCUGCGGUUUAAUUGGACUCAACGCCGGACAACUCACCGGGAACGACAGCAAUAUGUAGGCCAGGCUGAAGACCUUGCCUGAAUCGCUGAGAGGAGGUGCAUGGCGUAGACGUCU